Molecule: non-coding RNA, 74 nt
Organism: Camelus dromedarius (Arabian camel)
Lineage: Eukaryota; Metazoa; Chordata; Mammalia; Artiodactyla; Camelidae
Source: the annotation of a RefSeq genome assembly
GGAGGGAAUAGCUCAAGUGGUAGAGUGUGUGCUUAAUGUGCACAAGGUCCUGGGUUCAAACCCCAGUGCCUCUU